CGGACGGAGGCGGAGAGGAAGACGACGGGACUGGCGUCGCUGCUCCUGAGACUCGAGUUUCGAGAACGGCGCAGAGAACCGUCGAGGAGAGCAACGUGCGUUUCCCCAGCAUCCGCUCUCCUCCCCAGAACAGCGUCGCGGUCUGUCGGAGGCUGGGCGGCCUUCCAAAGCAGAUGCCUGCCCACCGACGACGCCGGAGCACUGAAGUUCACGGCAGAAGGACACUGACCGCAGGGGUGUUUUGAACUAAGCACGCCACUUUCUCCAGCCUCUGGGGCUGAGAGUUUCCUGGCAGGGCCAGCGGCCACCUCGCCUGUAACAGAGGCUGCCAGUGCCCUGCCCUCAUGCCCUCACUCUGCCUGAACAUCCAACAGCUUCCCCUGGCAAGCUCGGGGCCCUGCCCUAGGGCACCCUGGCCACAGCCCUCCUCUCUGGGCUCAUAUCAGGCCACCUCUUCCUAUUGCUAAAUGGUCACUCUGGGAACUCGUUUGAAACUGCGUUUGCUCAGUCUCCUUACCAACCCGGGAGGCCAGCUGGAGGAUCCCCGCUUUCCGGCUGGGGCAGCGGAAAGCUCAAGGAGGUGACUUGGCCAGGGUCACAGGGCCAGGAAACGACAGAGCUGAGGUGUCCACACAGCUCUCGCGGCUGCAGGCUCGGUGCUCCAGCCCUCUGCCCAAGCCCCAGAGGGCACCGGCCCCCAGAACCUCCUCACCGUGACCUACGGUGCACAGCAGCCACCGAGUCAGGAGAGGAGCUCUUAUCUGUGUUUGUCCUGCAGAGGAGCUGCCUUAUCCUCGGGCAUUGGCUGUAACAUCGGAGUAGACACAACAGACUUUUAAUAACUCCGUGCAACUCUAAACCAGAAGCGUAUUUUUACUCCUGUGAGUCAGCCAUUUAUUUGUCAACCAAGGCCAGGAAAGGAAAGGGCCCAGGGGCCAUUCAUAAACAGACUGCAGCCCCCGGAGACAUCCCGGGGGAAGCCAAGCUGUCUAGAAAUGCUCUGGUCUCUGAAAACCAUUCCACGGGAACAGACCAGCGCCAGGAGCUGUCUGGGAAACGGCUGGCGGGGGUGGCAGAGGCGGAGGUGUGCGGAGGGGCACCACAAAAGGCCGGCACACGUGCCACAGGCAGACCCAGCUUCACGUAGGAACCGCAGGGCAGAGCUCCGCCAGGCCUCAGCGUCACGCACGGUGAAGCAGGCAAGAUGAUGCCAGCCUUUCGGGGAUUCAUGGAGAAUAGAGGUCAGGUCCAUAGGGGCAGGGCUCGAAUGUCACCUUUGACGGUGACCGGGGGGCUGGAGGGGACUUGAUGAUGCCAUGACAGGACAGGGGUUUGAUCAGUAUUCAUCCUUCAGAAAUGAACUGCAGUGGCUGAACACUGCCUGGUGCCAGCUGCUCAUCACAUGUUGAAAGCAUGUGUCAGUGCAGCCCCCACGAAAGAGUGAGAAAUGGAGAAACAGAAGUUCUGUCCCCCUGGAGCUGCCUAGCAGGACAAGGCUCAAGGGCAUAUAGCCUGUGACCAGCAUCUCCUCUUCUGGGUGUAGCCCCAACCAAAGGGGGGCCGUGUUCUACAAGGAGGGCUGGGCAGGGACCUCACAGCAGUGCUGCUGCUUAUAGCCAAGAUCUGCGAACAGCCCGAGCUCCCAGCAGCAAUGGAACGAAGAGAUCGUGCUUUGUCUGUACAGGGGACUAUUACACGGCAGUGAAAACGGACCAACCCCUGCCACCCACUACCACAGCUGAGUCAUAAGACAGAGGAAAAGAAGGCAGACACUCGGGUACGCAUGCGAAUCCAUUUACAUGACAAAGGAGGACAGAUAAAACUAAUGUUUGAUGAGAGAAGUCGUAAGGGCGGUUACCCCUAGGGCGGGGUGUUGACCGACAGAGCGUACAGGGGAACUAUCUGGGUGACAGAAAUCUUCUAAGCAUAAAACGAGAGGUGGUCGAAAAAAUUAUUGGAUGCUGCACCUGUAUACUUUUUAAAGAGCAAGAUAUGCUCACAGAAAUAUCAAGACGGGAAACUCUCUAAGAGACCACCUUGUGAUGCCAACUCCAGAGUCCACAAAGGCCAGGAAGAUAAGGAGCUGCCAACGUCGGCCGGGGUGAGGCAGCAGACCCCAGGCUGCUCAGAUGGCUGCCCAGGAUAAGAUCGGUGAGAUACAGUUUGUUUUAAAAUGUUGCUGAACCAAAGAAAAUAGUCAAGGGUCUCGUGCCCCCGGCCAUUGGCUGCAAGUCUGAAGCCUCUGUGUGCAAUUCUUUGUUCCCCAGUUGGCAGCCCCUGGGCCCAGAGACACCCCUGGCACAGCUGAGUGACAGAAGAAGAGCAGGAGAUGGAUUCGAGCGUGAGCCUCUCUCCGACACCGUAAGACAGGCAGCUGCUGCAG
This 2383-nucleotide long non-coding RNA is filed under the name Sus scrofa (pig). RNAcentral's name for it is "lncRNA (ENSSSCG00040048649.1)". Lineage: Eukaryota; Metazoa; Chordata; Mammalia; Artiodactyla; Suidae. The record is from RNAcentral.